Molecule: ribosomal RNA, 274 nt
Filed under: uncultured bacterium
Lineage: Bacteria
Description: partial 16S ribosomal RNA
Rfam family: Bacterial small subunit ribosomal RNA
Source: RNAcentral
AUACGGAGGGUGCGAGCGUUAAUCGGAAUUACUGGGCGUAAAGGGUGCGUAGGCGGCUUGAUAAGUCGGAUGUGAAAGCCCCGGGCUUAACCUGGGAAUUGCAUUCGAUACUGUCAGGCUAGAGUAUGUCAGAGGUUGGCGGAAUUCCUGGUGUAGCGGUGAAAUGCGUAGAUAUCAGGAGGAACACCAGUGGCGAAGGCGGCUAACUGGGACAAUACUGACGCUGCGGCACGAAAGCGUGGGGAGCAAACAGGAUUAGAAACCCCAGUAGUCC